Long non-coding RNA from Amphiprion ocellaris (clown anemonefish), 831 nucleotides. RefSeq lists it as uncharacterized. The record is from RefSeq and is a predicted model, not a curated record. The transcript is spliced from 2 exons. NCBI's taxonomy places the organism in Eukaryota, Metazoa, Chordata, Actinopteri, Pomacentridae.
ACCUGAGAACAAGGACAUGACAACAAUCAGUUCAAAUGGAGAGAGUUAAAAUUUACCUGCUUGCCAGGCUGGCAGCUGCCAGGCCCAGAUAGCGCCCUCUCCCCCUCUCUCUCCUCCCCUUUCUUCCUUUUUAGGUGAUCCAUGGAGUAAUUGCAGCAGCAGGUGAUCUGCAUCAUCACAAUCAUCAGCCGGUUCAGGAGCAGGUGGAACGCAGCCAAUCAAGCCUCACACUGCAAUAUAACCAGACACCACUCACCUCCCAGUGGGGGAUCCUGAUACAGCCUCUCUAGAUCCACCUGCUCCUGUUUGGACUCACCUGGGUUCUCCGUCGCUUCUCUCUCUUCGUUCCUUCAGCAUCAGAGAUUCACUCAGCAGAGCCGACUCGACCACCUGCCGUUCUCACCAUCACCUACCAGCCGCUGCAACUGCCUUGGAUCACAUGCACCCAGAGGUUUCCAGUUGGAGCCUAGUCCGAGCAUCAGUUAUUUGAAUUGUUUUGUAAUUUGUUUCUGAUAGUUAUAGAGUUGCUUCAUAUUAAUGUUUCAGAGCCUUAGUAGUUGAAGUUAUAGUUCGUAUCAUAGUUGCCUGAGUAAUUUGCAAGCCUUUUGUUGUAGUUUUGAGUCUCGAAAUCAUAGAAUUGUUAAAGUAUUAGCCUUUCUUGCCUGGGUCUUACCCACCAUGAGUUGGCGCCCUUAGUUUUUGUAAUUAGUCCUCCUCGCCACUAGUUGUAGUGAAGCGCCUUUCUUGAGGUUUCCUAGGAUUAAUUCAGGUUAUUUUCCUACUUCGACUUGUAGUCAGCUCUCAGUCCUGAAAAUAAACACUUUAACCUUA